Colius striatus (speckled mousebird) is the source of this 1103-nucleotide long non-coding RNA. RefSeq lists it as uncharacterized. The transcript has 3 exons. Lineage: Eukaryota; Metazoa; Chordata; Aves; Coliiformes; Coliidae. The record is from RefSeq and is a predicted model, not a curated record.
UGGCGGCCCUUCGGGGCGGGUGGUGUGCGGGGGAAGGAGACUGGUUCUUCGCCAGCGCCUGAGGGUCGGGUCCAACGAGCCUCAGCCCCGAGGGGGAAUUCGCCGGGCUGCAGGAAGCAGAGAGGCACACUCUGUGCUUUAAACAACACUGAGGAUCGCGGCAGAUCAUCACUGAUGUCAGCUUCUUCUGGAACACUGUGCCUCAAGAAUGGGAUGGUUUUUGGAUAAGUAAACAUAGAGGGUCUACCCUCGCUAUUUUUUUCCCCUGUGCUGUUGCUAAGAGUGCUGCUAUAAAACAAGAUGCAGGGUAUGAAAUCUGUCCUCUGCAAGAAAAUUCUCGGAGCUAAAGAAGAGUCACAACAAGGUAAGACAGCAGAACAGCUAUCAAAUUUGAAUGUGAGAAAAUUGGGAAGGAGAAUGAUUAUGAGUCAGGACUGAAGCCAAACUUUGGUCACAAGCCACUUUAUACAGUGAGCAGGUUAUUCCACACCUACCUGUUAUGAGUUUUCUUAUAUUCAUGCAAAGGUCAGAUAUCAAUCACUGUCAAGAGAUCAAGUUUGUGAAGCAGAGAGAAAAGAGGCUGCAUGAAUAAUGUCAACACCAACGCUUUGGGUCUCUCACACCCUAAGCCAUUUCUUUGGAAGAUGGCAGAGGUGGAUACACAAGCAAACAGUCCUGUGCAAUACUGGAGAAUGCUUGCUGCCAUUGUCUGCAUCUCAUUUGUGAAAUCCAAGGACUGAUUUUGCUUGUAAACUGCUGAUAUCUCUUUUGAUCUUUUUUUUGACACCUCAAUACCUCUGGAAGAAUGUAGUGCUGAGUAAAGUGACCCAUGUUCUCCCAAAACAGAGACUUGCCUCUAUUGAAUGUUGCUGAAUUGUUCAUUGCUUUGAUUUUUUAAAAGAAAACAAAAAGGACAGACCAGUUUCUCUUGUGUUCUCUGUCUACAGUAAAGGCUCCUUAAAUUAAUGUCCUUUCAAAUAUAAGUAGAAUAAAUAUACAGGAUAUGCACAUGGGCAUAAAAAGUGCUGCAACAUCUGAAAACAUGUUUCUUGAUUUCUUGACCAAUUCUUCUCAAGUACCUCAAUGCCACACAGGAAUUACUU